CAGUCGCCGCGGUAAUACGAAGGGGGCUAGCGUUGCUCGGAAUUACUGGGCGUAAAGGGCGCGUAGGCGGACAGUUCAGUCGGGGGUGAAAGCCCGGGGCUCAACCUCGGAAUUGCCUUCGAUACUGGCUGUCUUGAGUAUGAGAGAGGUGUGUGGAACUCCGAGUGUAGAGGUGAAAUUCGUAGAUAUUCGGAAGAACACCAGUGGCGAAGGCGACACACUGGCUCAUUACUGACGCUGAGGCGCGAAAGCGUGGGGAGCGAACAGGAUUAGAUACCCCAGUAGUCCCUGUCUCUUAUAC
RNAcentral lists this ribosomal RNA (301 nucleotides) under uncultured bacterium. RNAcentral's name for it is "partial 16S ribosomal RNA". It matches the Rfam family "Bacterial small subunit ribosomal RNA", at positions 509 to 807 of the family's 1533-position model. The record is from RNAcentral.